GGCGGGUUAGCUCAGUUGGUUAGAGCGUCGUGCUAAUAACGCGAAUGUCGCGGGUUCGAUCUCCGUGCUGGCCA
Molecule: non-coding RNA, 74 nt
Organism: Ciona savignyi (Pacific transparent sea squirt)
Lineage: Eukaryota; Metazoa; Chordata; Ascidiacea; Phlebobranchia; Cionidae
Source: Rfam